Long non-coding RNA from Carassius auratus (goldfish), 890 nucleotides. RefSeq lists it as uncharacterized. The record is from RefSeq and is a predicted model, not a curated record. The transcript has 3 exons. Lineage: Eukaryota; Metazoa; Chordata; Actinopteri; Cypriniformes; Cyprinidae.
AAUGCUAACAGCAGGUGGCGGUCCGCUAGCCAAUGGCGGCGCCCAGGGGUGCUUCAAAAAAAAAUGAAACCCUGCCCCCCUGGGUAAACUGCAUAGCCCUGCAUAAACUUUAUUUGUAUAAAACCAGGGCCUAUCAGAAAAAGCAUACCCCUGUAUAAAUAAACUGUAUUUUUAUUAAACCAGGAGCUAUCAAAACAGCAUACCCCUUUAUAAACUGUAUUUUUAUUAAACCAGGGCCUAUCAAAAAAGCAUACCCCUGUAUAACUAUUUUUAAUACAGACAAAGUAGGCUAAAUUGACAGACUACGCUAUAAAACUCAACUUCCGGUAUAUUCUGAAAAAUAUGUUACAUCGACAGAACACCGUCUCUCGUGCACACGCACGCAGCAGCAAUCAGAGCCGUACGAAAGACUACUUUGUAUUGUUCUUUGAUUGUUGCUGGGUCUGACUCCGAGUCCGCAAGUAGCCUAUCCCAGAAAGCCUCAGUGACGUCUACUUCCUCCGGGCACCGCAGCGAAUGACAGCGACGGGGGAAGCCACUGGCAGCACGUUCAAAAUGUUCUUUAUUGUCAUUGUUAUAAGUAACAACGAGAUCACAUCAGACCAUCACGUGCCAUCUCUGAGCCAUACUCUAUUCUCCCUGAUUGUGUUUUAGUAUUCUAGCGGAAUAUAUUGUUUAAAUUAAACUUUUAUGAACUAAUUUGCAAAUGUUUGUACAAAGUGUAAUCUAUUAAUAUUAUCUAUAAAUAAUACUGUACUAAUAAUACUAUACUGUACCACUUAAUAAGAAGUGACAUUGUGUUUAUUUAAAACUGUAAGAUUUGUCUUGUUUUUUUUUUUUUUUUUUUUUAGGCCUUAAUCUGGCCAUUUAUUCUAAAGUCUAAACAUGGU